GACGAACGCUGGCGGCGUGCCUAAUACAUGCAAGUCGAACGCACAGUUUAUAUCGUAGCUUGCUACACCAUAGACUGUGAGUUGCGAACGGGUGAGUCACGCGUAGGCAACCUGCCUGGUAGCGGGGGAUAACUAUUGGAAACGAUAGCUAAUACCGCAUACUAUUAAUUAUUGCAUGAUAAUUAAUUGAAAGGUGUAAUUGCACCACUACCAGAUGGACCUGCGUUGUAUUAGCUAGUAGGGGAGGUAACGGCGCACCUAGAUGAAGAUACAUAGCCGACCUGGGAGGGUGAGCGGCCACACUGAGACUGGGACACGGCCCAGACUCCUACGGGAGGCAGCGGUAGGGGAUCUUCAGCAAUGGACGCAAUUCUGACCGUGCAACAGCGCGUGAGUGAGGAAGAUUUCCGUAUCGUGAAGCUCAGUUGUAAGAGAGGAACGAAGAUGAGAUUGGAAAGUUCACACUGUGACGGUACCGUACCAGAAAGGAACGGCUAACUACGUG
Molecule: ribosomal RNA, 505 nt
Filed under: uncultured bacterium
Lineage: Bacteria
Description: partial 16S ribosomal RNA
Rfam family: Bacterial small subunit ribosomal RNA
Source: RNAcentral